GACGAACGCUGGCGGCGUGCUUAACACAUGCAAGUCGAACGGUGAAGCGCCUUCCUUUUUGGUGGGUGUGGAUGAGUGGCGAACGGGUGAGUAACCCGUGAGUAACCUGCCCCCUUCUUCUGGAUAACCGCAUGAAAGUGUGGCUAAUACGGGAUAUUCUGGGUCUGUCGCAUGAUGGGUCUGGGAAAGAUAUUGUUUCGGUGGGGGAUGGGCUCGCGGCCUAUCAGCUUGUUGGUGGGGUGAUGGCCUACCAAGGCGGUGACGGGUAGCCGGCCUGAGAGGGUGGACGGUCCCACUGGGACUGAGACACGGCCCAGACUCCUACGGGAGGCAGCAGUGGGGAAUAUUGCACAAUGGGCGCAAGCCUGAUGCAGCGACGCCGCGUGAGGGAUGGAGGCCUUCGGGUUGUGAACCUCUUUCGCCAGUGAAGCAGGCCUGCCUCGUUUGUGGGUGGGUUGACGGUAGCUGGAUAAGAAGCGCCGGCUAACUACGUG
RNAcentral lists this ribosomal RNA (494 nucleotides) under uncultured bacterium. Its description in RNAcentral is "partial 16S ribosomal RNA". It matches the Rfam family "Bacterial small subunit ribosomal RNA", at positions 28 to 507 of the family's 1533-position model. The record is from RNAcentral.